Molecule: ribosomal RNA, 253 nt
Filed under: uncultured bacterium
Lineage: Bacteria
Description: partial 16S ribosomal RNA
Rfam family: Bacterial small subunit ribosomal RNA
Source: RNAcentral
UACGUAGGUGGCAAGCGUUGUCCGGAUUUACUGGGCGUAAAGAGCGCGCAGGCGGUCGUUCAAGUCGCGUGUGAAAGCCCCCGGCUCAACUGGGGAGGGUCACGCGAUACUGCUCGACUCGAAGGCAGGAGAGGGAAGUGGAAUUCCCGGUGUAGUGGUGAAAUGCGUAGAUAUCGGGAGGAACACCAGUGGCGAAGGCGGCUCACUGGACCGGAACUGACGCUGAGGCGCGAAAGCGUGGGGAGCAAACAGG